AGGUCCGUGUUCGAAAGGGAAACAGCCCAGACCACCAGCUAAGGUCCCAAAAUAUAUGUUAAGUGGAAAAGGAUGUGGCGUUGCCCAGACAACUAGGAUGUUGGCUUAGAAGCAGCCAUCAUUUAAAGAGUGCGUAAUAGCUCACUAGUCGAGUGACACUGCGCCGAAAAUGUACCGGGGCUAAACAUAUUACCGAAGCUGUGGAUUGUCCUUUGGACAAUGGUAGGAGAGCGUUCUAAGGGCGUUGAAGCAUGAUCGUAAGGACAUGUGGAGCGCUUAGAAGUGAGAAUGCCGGUGUGAGUAGCGAAAGACGGGUGAGAAUCCCGUCCACCGAUUGACUAAGGUUUCCAGAGGAAGGCUCGUCCGCUCUGGGUUAGUCGGGUCCUAAGCUGAGGCCGACAGGCGUAGGCGAUGGAUAACAGGUUGAUAUUCCUGUACCACCUAUAAUCGUUUUAAUCGAUGGGGGGACGCAGUAGGAUAGGCGAAGCGUGCGAUUGGAUUGCACGUCUAAGCAGUAAGGCUGAGUAUUAGGCAAAUCCGGUACUCGUUAAGGCUGAGCUGUGAUGGGGAGAAGACAUUGUGUCUUCGAGUCGUUGAUUUCACACUGCCGAGAAAAGCCUCUAGAUAGAAAAUAGGUGCCCGUACCGCAAACCGACACAGGUAGUCAAGAUGAGAAUUCUAAGGUGAGCGAGCGAACUCUCGUUAAGGAACUCGGCAAAAUGACCCCGUAACUUCGGGAGAAGGGGUGCUCUUUAGGGUUAACGCCCAGAAGAGCCGCAGUGAAUAGGCCCAAGCGACUGUUUAUCAAAAACACAGGUCUCUGCUAAACCGUAAGGUGAUGUAUAGGGGCUGACGCCUGCCCGGUGCUGGAAGGUUAAGAGGAGUGGUUAGCUUCUGCGAAGCUACGAAUCGAAGCCCCAGUAAACGGCGGCCGUAACUAUAACGGUCCUAAGGUAGCGAAAUUCCUUGUCGGGUAAGUUCCGACCCGCACGAAAGGCGUAACGAUUUGGGCACUGUCUCAACGAGAGACUCGGUGAAAUCAUAGUACCUGUGAAGAUGCAGGUUACCCGCGACAGGACGGAAAGACCCCGUGGAGCUUUACUGUAGCCUGAUAUUGAAAUUCGGCACAGCUUGUACAGGAUAGGUAGGAGCCUUUGAAACGUGAGCGCUAGCUUACGUGGAGGCGCUGGUGGGAUACUACCCUAGCUG
RNAcentral lists this ribosomal RNA (1209 nucleotides) under Staphylococcus aureus. RNAcentral describes it as "partial 23S ribosomal RNA". It matches the Rfam family "Bacterial large subunit ribosomal RNA", at positions 1001 to 2211 of the family's 2925-position model. Lineage: Bacteria; Bacillati; Bacillota; Bacilli; Caryophanales; Staphylococcaceae. The record is from RNAcentral.